RNAcentral lists this ribosomal RNA (497 nucleotides) under uncultured bacterium. Its description in RNAcentral is "partial 16S ribosomal RNA". It matches the Rfam family "Bacterial small subunit ribosomal RNA", at positions 28 to 507 of the family's 1533-position model. The record is from RNAcentral.
GACGAACGCUGGCGGCGUGCCUAAUACAUGCAAGUCGAGCGAUGAAGCUCGGUGCUUGCACCAAUUUGAAGAGCAGAGAACGGGUGAGUAACGCGUGUGGAAUCCGCCUUUGAGCGGGGGACAACAUUGGGAAACGGACGAUAAUACCGCAUAAUAACUUUAAACAUAAGUUUUAUGUUUGAAAGACGCAAUUGCAUCACUCACAGAUGAUCCCGCGUCGUAUUAGCUAGUUGGUGAGGUAAAGGCGCACGAAGGCGAUGAUACAUAGCCGACCUGAGAGGGUGGGCGGCCGCAUUGGGACUGUGACACGGCACAAACGGCUUCAGGUAGCGGCAAGAGGGCUACUGGGGCCAGGGGUGAGAGUCUGAGCGAGCUGCGCCGCGGGAGUGAAGAGGGAUUUCGGAUCGUAAAUCACGGUUUGUGGGGUAGAACGCGGGUGAGAGUGGAAAGCUCAGCAAGUGACGGUAACUACCCAGAAAGGGACGGCUAACUACGUG